GACAAGGUUCCAGGCCCUACGGGGUGCAGCAGGCGCGAAACCUCCGCAAUGUAAGAAAUCGCGACGGGGGGAUCCCAAGUGCCAUUCUUAACGGGAUGGCUUUUCAUUAGUGUAAAGAGCUUUUGGAAUAAGGGCUGGGCAAGACCGGUGCCAGCCGCCGCGGUAACACCGGCAGCUCUAGUGGUAGCAGUUUUUAUUGGGCCUAAAGCGUCCGUAGCCGGUUUAAUAAGUCUCUGGUGAAAUCCUGUAGCUUAACUGUGGGAAUUGCUGGAGAUACUAUUAGACUUGAGACCGGGAGAGGUUAGAGGUACUCCCAGGGUAGAGGUGAAAUUCUGUAAUCCUGGGAGGACCGCCUGUUGCGAAGGCGUCUAACUGGAACGGUUCUGACGGUGAGGGACGAAAGUUAGGGGCGCGAACCGGAUUAGAUACCCGGGUAGUCCUAACUGUAAACGAUGCGGACUUGGUGUUGGGGUGGCUUUGAGCUGCUUCAGUGCCGAAGGGAAGCUGUUAAGUCCGCCGCCUGGGAAGUACGGUCGCAAGACUGAAACUUAA
RNAcentral lists this ribosomal RNA (552 nucleotides) under uncultured archaeon. Its description in RNAcentral is "bacterial SSU rRNA". It matches the Rfam family "Archaeal small subunit ribosomal RNA", at positions 307 to 859 of the family's 1478-position model. The record is from RNAcentral.